AUGGCGCAAAUGGAGCAGCGAGGAUCAACGAACAUGACCAAGGCGCUGGAAGCUCUUUCGCCGUGGCUCGAAAACCCACGGAGCAUAGUCAAUCAAGUGGAGGCGGUAGUCCUCGCCGCGGCUGUGCUCCUCCUCUUCCAGCUCAUCCUCUGUUCCUGCAGAUGGCAGUCGAGCAACGCUUUUAUCCAGGCCGGCGCGUGGGUGUCCUACACCAUGUCGUUCCCUUUGGUCACCUACACAUUGGGCAUGAGGCAGACUUCCCCGGUGAAGAAUGUCCUGUAUCCUGUCUGGGCUGUCUCUUUGUUCAUGGUUGCUGGAUGCACCAACGCCGUCACGUCCUAUGAUCUUGACGACAACAAGCAGUGGAAGAAGCAUCUCUUCGAGGUCUUUCAGUAUGCCCUCUACUCAGCAAUUAACAUCAAGCUGCUUUUCCCUUACAGCACUGCAGAAGUAUUUAAUCUGAAGGCCAAAUCUUUCAAGUCUAUGUCCAUCACCCCUGUUAUCGUGAUCCUCAACUUGAUUGUGCUGCUCACAAAUUUUGUCAAAGUUAUCUUGUGUUGGAGGGUAGGCGUUGACUUCUCCAGCAAACGAGUUGCUGAGUUCAUGAGGAAGCAGGCCAGGGAGGACCGUCCUAGUGUGUUCAACCCUGUCGCCAUGGAAGGCUACAGGUACCCUAUUCGAUGUGGUAGACACAAAUCGAUCACCAUCGACGAGGUUUGGAAAUUGGACAGCACGCUUUUCAGGUCAGGUGCUUCCACCAAGCUGAAAGAUUCUUGCCUAUCAUAUGCCCUGUUUAAGCUCUUGAGGCGGCAGUACCAUGGGAUGGAGUGUGCUGAAGCCGGCCUUCCCGAAACCCGUGAUUUUGUCUUGAAGGGUUUGCUGUUGACAGAAGACGACCAUCAGAUUGAAAUGGCGUUCAGGAUUGUGGAGGUAGAACUUGGUUUCUAUCAUGACUACCUCUUCACCAAAUACAAUAUCAUCCGUAAGCGGGAGAAACUGUUCUUCGCAAUGUUGCUUGUGAGGAUACUUCUUAUAUCUAUUGUUUUACACUAUGUCACCCGGAAUUCAUUGGCUGUCAUGACAACAGCUGCUAUAAUUGAGGUGCAGACCAAGACUGUUGAUACUAUCAUUACUGUACUUAUUCUCACCAUUAUUCUCAUGGUUGAAGUUCUGCAAGCCGCAUUUUACCUGGCAUCAGACUGGGCCAAAGUGACACUUACCAAAAAAUAUUUAAGUAACCAUUGUUACCGGGGCAAUGCUUGUUUGGAGAAGAUUAUUGUUUUCAUCAGCAAGGUCACCAUGUUCAGAUAUUGGGCAAAUCAAAUUGGACAAAGUUCAGUGAUUUCAGACAACAAAUAUUUUGCCAGACACCUGCAGUAUGUCAUAGAAAGCCCUCCACACUCACUUGCGAUGUUGUUCAGUAGCUUCAGUCUUGGCAAAAGGACAACCCGUGUGAGCAUAUGCAGCCCCGUCAAGAGAGCCAUCGCUAGGUCCAUUAAAAUGAGUAAAGAUCCUCUAACAAACGGCAAGUCAUCACUAGACCACAAUGGAGUGCUGCGAGGAUUCUCCUGGGCACUGAAUGGACAAACUCAGACAGAGAUCAUGCUAAUUUGGCACAUUGCGACUGAGUACUGCAACAUUGCUCAGCCUAAUACCACGGAAACAGGUGAGGUGCAAGACAUGAAGUGCCACCGUGAAGUUGCAGUCAGGUUGUCAAGAUACUGCGCAUACUUGAUAGAUUCAGCCCCCGAACUGCUUUCAGACUACAUGGAUACUGAGAUUCCCAUAGCUAAGAUGAUGCAAGAUAUGCGCAAAGUUAUGGGAGAAUGUACAUCCAUUCAUGCGAAAUUUGAGGUAAUGAAGCAUUUAGAAGAGCAGGAUGAUGAGGCCAUGUUCCGGCGAGGCGUCAAGCUGGGGAGGCAGCUUGACUGCUUGGAUGCUGCUCUGCGAUGGAAGGUGCUGGAGGAAUUCUGGUCGGAGACCAUCGUCUAUGUUGCACCGUCAGAGAAUGUCAAUGGGCACUUGGAGCGCCUUGCGAAAGGCGGAGAGUUCCUAACCCACAUCUGGGCUCUGCUAUCUCACGCUGGCAUCCGGGCGAUAAACAGGGAGCAAGCUAAGCAUCCAUCCCAAGAAAAUGUGUGA
RNAcentral lists this ribosomal RNA (2142 nucleotides) under Triticum aestivum (bread wheat). Its description in RNAcentral is "partial small subunit ribosomal RNA". Lineage: Eukaryota; Viridiplantae; Streptophyta; Magnoliopsida; Poales; Poaceae. The record is from RNAcentral.